CACCCCCACGGACCUCCCAGUCGCGGCCGGUUACGACAGAGCCUGGCGCGAACCCAGAGUCUCUGGUGGCACAGCGUAGCCACUGCGCCACCAGGGAGGCCCCCCAAUACGUCACUUUCAACGUCAUUUAAUGUUACAUCAUACGUUUCUUUGUGUUCAACACUUUAAAUCAAGUUUAUGAAUGUGUUGUCACUUCUUCAUUUGCCAGAGGCGAGAGGGGUCGAGGUGGCCGUUUUGGGGCUCGCGGGGGAGGACCUGUAGGUAAGCACCUUCUGAAGGUAAGCCCCUUCUGAACACCACACUGAACAUUGCAAAGUGUGCGCCCUUAGUAAUGUUUGAGGUACAUUUAUAUUUAAUCUCAAACCAACUCAGGAAAUGCAUUGAAAUUUGAAUGCAUUUGGCAUUUAGUAAAUUAAUCUGUGAAAUGGCCAUGUAUGAUCUCCUCCAUUUGUAGAUUUUGCCCAUUUGUCCCUCGCAUCCCAUUUGACCUCUACUUGUGUGAAAUAGCCUGCCUGAAGCCUGAAGCCUGCCCCUGAUGAGACAGCCUUCAGUGAGGCCCUAUUGAAGAGGAACCAGGACCUUGGCCCCACCUCUGUUGCACAGUCAUCCAUCUUGUCACUGGUCAUCAAAAUCACCAACGUCAUUGACAACGUCAUCGUUUCAGCUGGGGCUGAACGUACCACCGUGUCAGAUUUGAUCUCAACAGAGAAAUAGUUUGGUGAAUCCUCAAAUGCAGGGAUAUAGGAAUUUCAAACAAGUUAGUUGAGUUGAAUAUGACAUUGUUUUCAUACUUUUCUAACUCUAGGAAAUUGAGGAAAUGAGACGGGUGGGCUCCUACAAGAAAGGCACCAUGACAACAGGACACAAUGUUGCAGACCUUGCUGUCAUUCUGAAGAUAUUGCCUUCUGUGGAGACAGAGACCGCUCUGGCAACCAAGGUGGUGGAGACCCUACGCACACAGGACCCUUUGGAAGUCGAUAUGAAGCUCUUGCAGAACUCCCUGGCUGCCGUUCGCCACGCUCGCUUGUUUGAAGAAAAUGCCUCCCACUCCACGGUCACUCUGCACCCUCAAUGUGGCCUUCAGGCGGAGCCUGGAGAUGCUGUAAUCAGGGCUUUUCUUGCCUGGUUCAGCUGGGAUCGCAGACCCCUGUGAGAAUGGACACUACCGUGUAUUCACUGUCAUGAACCUGGAGCAACCUGCCGGCCUCUCCAUUACAUUAAAAAAUGUUGUCAUCUUAUCCAGAGCGAUUUAGCAGGAGCAAUUAGGGUUGAGUGCCUUGCUCAGGGGCACAUCCACAGAUUUUUCACCUAGUCGGCUCUGGGAUUCAAACCAGCAACCUUUUGGUUACUGGCUCAGCACUCUAAAGCACUAUGAUACCCGCCAGCCCGUCUCUUAUCCUAUCUUGUAAGAGUGUAAACUUACACUUUCUGACGCAAUCUUGAAUUAUUGUUUGAUUUCUGUUUUUUUUGCUGGUCUAAACGGUAGUCUGCAAGACUAAUACUAAGGUAUCAAACAAUACAUUUUCAGAGUGUUCCUCACAUUAUACCAAGAUGCUGACAUAAUAUUUGCUCUAUCCUGGACAUGGUGUGCCUCACUGCUCAGACCCUGGUGAGGUUGCUGUCUCAUUGCGGCUACAUGAAGAUUCUGGGUCUGGAUGGAGACACUAGCCAUCUGGUGGUGGAGACAUCCACGUGGGAUGGAGUGACAGUGAAGCCUUCUGAAAAGGUGUAUGAGAAGAUGCCGGAGUUGGAAUUGGUGGUGGAUGAUGUUGAUGGUGAUGUAGAAAUAGAGGGCAUGGACGCUAAAGAGGGCAUGGACUCUAAAAGAGGGCAUGGACGCUAAAGAGGGCAUGGACGCUAAAGAGGGCAUGGACGCUAAAAGAGGGCAUGGACGCUAAAAGAGGGCAUGGACGCUAAAAGAGGGCAUGGACGCUAAAAGAGGGCAUGGACGCUAAAAGAGGGCAUGGACGCUAAAAGAGGGCAUGGACGCUAAAAGAGGGCAUGGACGCUAAAAGAGGGCAUGGACGCUAAAGAGGGCAUGGACGCUAAAAGAGGGCAUGGACGCUAAAGAGUGAUUGUGGUAAAGGGCUUUAUUCAGUUUGUCAUUCGACUGUGUUGCAUGAUCCCCUUCUGAGAAAGGAUGGGGAUUUAUAUUUUAUUUUUGUACCGUCUCCUACCCGCGCCCAGUUUAAGGGCUUGCUUUGUUUUCAGACAAACCUGAUACUAGGAACACAAGGUGUGGCUUCCUAUGUUUCAUUUCAUAUCAAAUCUUGUUAACAGAAAUUGAACUAUUUUCUCUUGGCUUAUUGUAUGUCAAAGAUUUUGAUUUAAAAAAAUGUUUCAUUGGAAAAUCUUAUUUCUAUGGUCCACUCCCAAUUGAUGGUGCUCCAGUGUACAGUUUCUCACUGAGCUGGCUGUCAAAAAUGGAUAGAUCAUGUCAGUUUGGUGUCUGAAGAUACUGAGCAGCCAGUGGAGACCAGCUGUCUCUGUUUAUGCUGUCUGGACUAUUACAUACAGCGGUGUUGUCACUAAUAACUGGGCUUUAAUCAAUGAACCCAAUUACGGAGUCCUUUGACAGAAGAACUGCAAAAUGUCAUAGUCAGUUAGAGGAGCUGUGAAGGGAGGGGGAGGCAGUAAGCUCAGAGCACUCAGCAAUUAAACCCAAGGCUGGCUUAUUGAGGUUUUCUCUGGCUAGACGGAGAUUGAGCCAUGGCUGAUAGUAUAUCAUCUAUUUUGUUUGAUAUGAGUGCACAAAAUACUAUGCUAUUGGUAUGAAAUCUUUAAAGUAUCUGUUUCAGUGCUUUCGUAAGCCAUUAAACUCAAGGAUUUAUUCUGCCCCACAUAUCGAACAGAGCGUUUUCAAUAUUUUAACUUUUUCUUGAACAAUUAAGCUGAAAAAACAUGCCGUAGUUAUUGUUGAUACUCCAGCUGACUAACCACAUCCUCUUCAAAUGGAAUGUUGCAACUGUGGUAUUGGAGGUUUAAACUUUUGCAUCCUUCUGGGGGUUCCAACCAUUCCGAGAAAAAAACAUAGUUGGAUAGACUACUUUUGUCUCAAAAUAACAAAAGUGAUGCUGGUGUUUUUCUCUCGGACCUUGACUAUGCUUAGCUUUUCAAUGGGUUGUUUAUUUGCAGUAUUCGUCCACUCGUACCUGUAUGCAGUUUGAAAAUGGCAGAUUUGGACACUAAUAAGCUUCUAAAUUGGAACGCUGUACAGUAACAUGCUAUACGUGAAAUCAGAGCUCUGGCUCUGCGCUUCACAGCUCUAUAUUGGUUUUGACAGACAGCCGUUCUGAACUUGAGCACCGAGUAGGGCAAGAAGUUGCCCCCAUCCCUCCUGCUAAUUGGGCAGGUAGCCUAGUGGUUAGAGUGUU
This is a non-coding RNA of Oncorhynchus mykiss (rainbow trout), 3374 nucleotides long. The record is from RefSeq and is a predicted model, not a curated record. NCBI's taxonomy places the organism in Eukaryota, Metazoa, Chordata, Actinopteri, Salmoniformes, Salmonidae.